Molecule: non-coding RNA, 1442 nt
Organism: Struthio camelus australis
Lineage: Eukaryota; Metazoa; Chordata; Aves; Struthioniformes; Struthionidae
Source: RefSeq, a predicted model, not a curated record
UCUCAAUGAUACAUGUUAUUUCAUAAGCCAGGGAAAUACUUAUGUCAACAAUGGAUGUGUAAAGGAUGACAGCAAUAGCAGGCCAACAACCAAGGGGCAGCAUGUUUUCUCCGUGGCGUUUUUGUAUACCUGCCUCCGGAGAUUUUUUUAACCACUUCGAUGGCAGCUUUGGGAGAGUCCCCUGGUGACUGAAGUUGUAGCUGGUGAUGGACACAGCUCUUUCCACUAGUCUCUUUUAUUGCCAACGACCUGGACCUGUGAGACAUUCCCUCUCUCUCUCUCAGAACUAAAAUGCCUCUGUGCAGCUGGUUACACGCUUGGAGAUUUUAGGAAAUGAUACUGGACUCUAGGGCUUGGAACAGACUAAUUUCCAGCACCAUCAGCAAGGAGCUAGGAGAAAAAGCUCCUUACUCUGUUUCCCGCGAAUUGCUGCGUUUGCCAGCAAUGGAACUUGCAGGCCAGGGCUCCAAAGCAUUGCUUACGCAGCCAGGCAGAACGGGAGUAAAGAAAUCCUUCAGUCAUGUUUUCAUUCCCCAUGGCCAAGCUCCAAUAUCCAAAAUGGGAUUGCCAGAAUAGAAAUGCAGUUGUAUUUUGCCUCUGCUGACCUUCAGCAGCUGCAGCUCCAGCCCUGGGCCUCUGGAGAGCUCCGGGGAUGCACCUCUGCACUGAUGUGUCCGUCUCUGAUCCUCCUGCCUUGAGCUUAUCCCAAGCAGAGACUGCCGACUGACCUACCCAGCUGUGGGGGUUUUGUGGCAAGCCAAUGGAAACCUUUUCCCCAGCACAUACAAAUAUGCUUUGCAAGGCAAAAAUAAGCAGUGACGCAAACAUCACACUCCAUUUUAUUUUCCUUUGCUUCAGGAUAACAGGAAGGGGCAAAAAAGGAUUGACACUUGAUCCCACCAAGGGCUUUUUCUAAGAUGCCUGCUGGGAACACUCACUGUAUGCUUCUCUUCAGGAAAAAGGACAUUCAGAGGACCUUCACUGUAAGAGAGAAAGUAGAAGAGCUGUUAUACCUGCCCCACUGCGUGUGCUGCUAAGCAGAUGCUACACACAGGUCUGAACACGGCUCAAUGGCAACUCUCGGCUCAGUCUGCCAAGGCUCCAGCUCCGCACUGCUUCUCGGCAUCCUCCACCUUCUUUUUCAGAAGUAACAAAGACAUUUGAUUUCCUCCCACCCCUUCCCUGCCGCCCCUGUGCUCUCCCCCUCCCCCUCACUGGCACGGGGUUAUUUAGACAGAGUAUGGAAACAAUUUGCAGGCAAAGCGAACAAUGUAAUCCAGAGUGAGGCAGGGGAGACAAGUUUAUUGUGCAGGCUUACAGACCCAGGAGUGAAACACUGUGUUUUGGGGGUGAGAGGGAGUGGACUGUUUUCCCUUCUUUCUGCUCUUCUCUCUCAACAUCUCGCUGAACUGCUUUCCGUCUUGCUUUCCAUCUCUGGUCCA